RNAcentral lists this ribosomal RNA (328 nucleotides) under uncultured bacterium. Its description in RNAcentral is "bacterial SSU rRNA". It matches the Rfam family "Bacterial small subunit ribosomal RNA", at positions 1 to 334 of the family's 1533-position model. The record is from RNAcentral.
GUGAGUAGUUCAGAGUUUGAUCCUGGCUCAGGAUGAACGCUGGCGGCGUGCCUAACACAUGCAAGUCGAGCGAUUUACUUUUGUAAAGAGCGGCGGACGGGUGAGUAACGCGUGGGUAACCUGCCCUGUACACACGGAUAACAUACCGAAAGGUAUGCUAAUACGAGAUAACAUACUUUUAUCGCAUGGUAGAAGUAUCAAAGUUUUUACGGUACAGGAUGGACCCGCGUCUGAUUAGCUAGUUGGUAAGGUAACGGCUUACCAAGGCGACGAUCAGUAGCCGACCUGAGAGGGUGAUCGGCCACAUUGGAACUGAGACACGGUCCAA